AACGUAGGACACAAGCGUUAUCCGGAGUUACUGGGCGUAAAGGGCGUGUAGGCGGACGUGUAAGUCUAUUCUGAAAGCUCCUGGCUAAACUGGGAGAGGCGAAUGGAGACUGCAUAUCUAGAGUGAGGAAGAGGAAAGUGGAAUUCCGCGUGUAGUGGUGAAAUGCGUAGAUAUCGGAAGGAACAUCAGUGGCGAAAGCGGCUUCCUGGACCAGUACCGACGUUCAGGCACGAAAGCGUGGGGAGCAAACAGG
RNAcentral lists this ribosomal RNA (253 nucleotides) under uncultured bacterium. RNAcentral describes it as "partial 16S ribosomal RNA". It matches the Rfam family "Bacterial small subunit ribosomal RNA", at positions 524 to 776 of the family's 1533-position model. The record is from RNAcentral.